Molecule: ribosomal RNA, 460 nt
Filed under: uncultured bacterium
Lineage: Bacteria
Description: partial 16S ribosomal RNA
Rfam family: Bacterial small subunit ribosomal RNA
Source: RNAcentral
CCUACGGGUGGCAGCAGUGAGGAAUAUUGGUCAAUGGACGAGAGUCUGAACCAGCCAAGUAGCGUGAAGGAUGACUGCCCUAUGGGUUGUAAACUUCUUUUAUAUGGGAAUAAAAUGUUCCACGUGUGGGAUUUUGUAUGUACCAUAUGAAUAAGGAUCGGCUAACACCGUGCCAGCAGCCGCGGUAAUACGGAGGAUCCGAGCGUUAUCCGGAUUUAUUGGGUUUAAAGGGAGCGUAGGUGGAUUGUUAAGUCAGUUGUGAAAGUUUGCGGCUCAACCGUAAAAUUGCAGUUGAAACUGGCAGUCUUGAGUACAGUAGAGGUGGGCGGAAUUCGUGGUGUAGCGGUGAAAUGCUUAGAUAUCACGAAGAACUCCGAUUGCGAAGGCAGUUCACUGGACUGCAACUGACACUGAGGCUCGAAAGUGUGGGUAUCAAACAGGAUUAGAUACCCGUGUAGUC